Molecule: long non-coding RNA, 808 nt
Organism: Hippoglossus stenolepis (Pacific halibut)
Lineage: Eukaryota; Metazoa; Chordata; Actinopteri; Pleuronectiformes; Pleuronectidae
Exons: 3
Source: RefSeq, a predicted model, not a curated record
GACAAUUUGGCUUUUUGAAGCAUCAUCCAUCUUUAUAUGCAGUCAAUGAUCGGGGUUCAAGCGUCUGAAUGUCGCUGGAGGCCACAGCCCCCGAGCAUGAUGGGUAAUUCACUGAGAAACGCGCCUGAAAACACACGUCACGUGACCAUUGAUGUGGAAGUGUUAGCAACGCUAAGAACCAAUCAGGGAGAGAACGUGGGCGUGUGAUGGAGCUGGACACCAGCCCUGGGAAGACAUUUUGUCUGGUUCUCACGACUUCAAAGAGCCAUUUGAAGGUGGUUAGAAUGAGACACACUCAAACUGACCUUGAGUUCAGAUUUCGGGUGCAAGAAGAAGAACGGCUUGAGAACAGGAGACCUGAAACCAGCAGUGACAACAGGAACACGUCAGUGACAGUGAACUAAUGAGUCAAACUCUGCUGCUCGUCACGGGGGUUUGGACUCACACUCGGGGACGUCCGCCCACGAUGCCGGUGAGUCCGGGAGCUGCAACACGAGAGAACAAGGAAUGAAUGUGUCAGAACAUGGGUUCCCAAACUUGUUUGUUAUGAUUAGUACUUUAUUGUUUUCUUUGACCAGAAGUUUCCUCCCUAACAUACGGGCAGUCUGGGUCCAAUUUGCAAGAGGUGAACUUAAUUUAGUUCAUGUGGAAGGAGCAGCCGAAAUAAAGACUGUGUAUGUCAGAGCAAAACUCCUGGACCUUCAGGCAGCUCCAGAGCCUGUGGACUAAAGUACCAUCUUUACCCAGAACAUUGUAACUUAAUAAAUACAGUUUAUGAUAUUAUUAUUAUGGUACUUUAUGAACUUUU